Non-coding RNA from Macaca mulatta (Rhesus monkey), 1451 nucleotides. NCBI's taxonomy places the organism in Eukaryota, Metazoa, Chordata, Mammalia, Primates, Cercopithecidae. The record is from RefSeq and is a predicted model, not a curated record.
CCAGCCUGGGCGACAAGAGUGAGACUCCAUCUCAAGAACAAAAUUAGCCAGGAGUGGUGGUGCAUGGCUGUAGUCCUAGCUGCUCAGGAGGCUGAGGCAAGAGGAUCACUUGAGCUCAAGAGCUCGAGGUUGCAGUGAGCUGUGAUCAUAUCAUUGCACUCCAGCCCGGUGACAGAGCAGUGCCCUGAAUGUAAAUAAAUAAAGGAGUCUUGAGGGCAAAAUAUUUGUGAAACACUAGAUUCAAUGCAGCACCCCGGCUUCCUAGCUCCCUUUUUUUGUGGGAAUCUUAAGUGGUAAGAAGGAGCUAAUGUAAAUACAUUCAAAACCCACAGCUUUCUCUUGUGGGACUGCGGGGAACAGCUCGGGGCACAGCUUAGAGGAAUUAUCAUGCACUAAUUGUCCCUGUGACCAGGCCGCCAUCUCACUAGAGAAAUAGCUCACAGGAGGGAACCUGACAGGGACUGGGGUAUCCAUUCAGGCACAAUCAGGAAGGUCUCACCUAGAAAUCCCACUAAGGCAAUCAUCCCUCGGACCAGUUUUUCCAGUUUCUUGAGCUGUGUUGACAUCAACACCCCUUCCCCUGGGGCAGGCAGCAGGGACCCCUCCUAACAGAACCCAGGGGCAACUCAGUCACCCUGUGAAAUAACUGGGCUCCACCUCUUUAAAAAGUGAAACCCAGUCACAUGCCAAGAACUUGUUUCUUUUGUUACAUUCACCUUCCAAAUUAUUUUUAUAGCAUGCCCCUGGGGCUUGGUGAGCAGACAAUCAAGAAAUACGGGUUUUUCCCAGUUCUGCCAACAUGACCUCAGAGAUGCUCCUUUCCACCUGUGCCUCAACUUACUCUUCAUAAAAUAAAGACCACGUCCUGCCAGCCUCUCACGACUCUAACAGUGGAGACUCAAGGAAGAGAAAGAUGGACAGUCUCCUCUGGAAGAUCACUGCGAGUCUUUGAGAAUACUCUGCUUUCUCUGAAGACUUUCCUAGCCAGUGUCCUGUUAAAUGGAGUGAGGUCUUCCUCCCCACAGCCUGCAGAGCAGCUGGGUAGGGCUGGAGCUGACCGGUGGAGGGGAACACAUUUGCAGACAGCCUGAUGGACACAUGCCCUUGGCAGCUGGGAGGAUGCUGAUGACCAUCCGAAUUUCAGAGGCAGAGAACGGUUACCAUAGCUACCAAAAGUUGUAGCCAUUGGCUGUUUUGGCUACGAGGACUCAGCUGACCUCUCAAGGUCCCUUCCAGCCCUGGGAUUCUACAAUUACCUCGAGCCAGCUGACACCAUGUCUGCUGCAAGAAAAUAGGGCUUGUGAGAAGUGCCUUAGAGGUCACCUUGUCUUAUUCAUCAGAAGUGUUGAGUCACAGGCCUACUUUCUACCUUGGCUGCAUUAUUAAUAACCAAAGUUUUGCUUUUUUUGGCAUAGCAUUUGUAUACCUUUUAUAAACUGAGUUUGCCACCA